Molecule: microRNA precursor, 102 nt
Filed under: Marmota monax (woodchuck)
Lineage: Eukaryota; Metazoa; Chordata; Mammalia; Rodentia; Sciuridae
Source: RNAcentral
AGGGAGAUACCUGGGUCAAUGGUGGUUACAUUCCCAGUUUUCUGAGGAAUCUCCAUACUGUUUUCCAGAGUGGUUAUACCCGUUUGCAUUCCCACCAGCAAU